RNAcentral lists this microRNA precursor (77 nucleotides) under Operophtera brumata (winter moth). Its description in RNAcentral is "mir-971 microRNA precursor family". It matches the Rfam family "mir-971 microRNA precursor family". The record is from Rfam by way of RNAcentral. Lineage: Eukaryota; Metazoa; Arthropoda; Insecta; Lepidoptera; Geometridae.
AUCUCUGAUCACUCUAAGUAUGAACGCCAAGCGUUUUGGAUAAAGUUUGGUGUUCUACCUUACAGUGAAUCGAGGCU